This 498-nucleotide ribosomal RNA is filed under the name uncultured bacterium. RNAcentral describes it as "bacterial SSU rRNA". It matches the Rfam family "Bacterial small subunit ribosomal RNA", at positions 30 to 523 of the family's 1533-position model. The record is from RNAcentral.
AUUGAACGCUGGCGGAAUGCUUUACACAUGCAAGUCGAGCGGCAGCGCGGGGCAACCUGGCGGCGAGCGGCGAACGGGUGAGUAAUACAUCGGAACGUGCCAGACGUGGGGGAUAACUACUCGAAAGAGUGGCUAAUACCGCAUACGAUCUAAGGAUGAAAGCGGGGGAUCGCAAGACCUCGCGCGUUUGGAGCGGCCGAUGGCAGAUUAGGUAGUUGGUGGGGUAAAGGCUUACCAAGCCCGCGAUCUGUAGCUGGUCUGAGAGGAUGAUCAGCCACACUGGGACUGAGACACGGCCCAGACUCCUACGGGAGGCAGCAGUGGGGAAUUUUGGACAAUGGGCGAAAGCCUGAUCCAGCCAUUCCGCGUGCAGGAUGAAGGCCCUCGGGUUGUAAACUGCUUUGUACUAGAACGAAAAAGACUCUUUCUAAUACUAGAGAGUCCAUGACGGUACUGUAAGAAUAAGCACGCUAACUACGUAGCCAGCAGCCGCGGUAA